GUGAAAUCGUGUUGUCUGUCACGGCAGUUCUUAUGGCAUUUGGCGCACUACAUGUAUGCAUUUUUGACCUUUUGCAUGUUAUUCAACGCAUUUGAUCAUGUGUCAAUUUACACCAAGAUCUCCGGUUCACAGCACUAACCCUCAGUACAUGGUAUUUGACACGGCGUGAACAUACACGCAGAAAGCUUCUGAUGCGUACAGAUCACACGCCAAUAAAAAGUGGAGUAUAUUUACGCGAGUCAUGAUAUCAUGUUCCACUUAGCAGUUCAUCACUGGGGGCCAGAACCUGCCUACACACCGCUUUUAAUUGGCGCGUUAUCUGUACGCAUUAUAAGAGUUCCACGUGUAUGUUCACGCCGUGUCAAAUACCACACAUUGAGGGUUAGUGUUACAGUUAGUGUUAUGUGAACCAGAGAUCUUGGUGUAAAUUGACACGCAAUCAAAUGGUGUUGAAUAACACACGAAAGGUCAAAAAUGCGUACGUAUAGCACGCCAAAUGCCACAAAAACUGGUGUGACAUGCAACAUGAUUUCAUGAGAUCAGUCUCGCUGAGUGAGUUCCUCAGACAACAGAAGCCUGGUAAGGAGGAGGGGCUAUCAUGGAAAGACAAGCCCCUGCAUGGCAUGUACCAAACUGAAGAGGUGACAGAGAAAACAUACCAGUGGAUGGAAAAGGUUGGACUGAACGACAGCACAGAAGGACUACACAACAACAGGCCCUGAAUACAAGAGCAAUAGAGGCUGGGGUCUACCACAGCAGACAACACCCCAGGUGCUGCAGGACUGUUCUAGCAGGUACAAGGAACAACAUCUGACAUCUCCAUCCAGAAGAGUGCAGUCCUGGGAGCAGAUAAAAAUCAGGCUCCUAGGCCUGUGGCCGAGGACCUGAGCCUGAAGGAGACACAGCACCACCCAGUGUGUAAAGGAAAGAGUAAAUGGAAAUCAGAAGAUAUGAAGAGUGGGAUGGAAAAUGAAGAGAUCCAGCUCUCAUUUCUCAGUGGGAGUUUGUCAUCACAUUUGAUCCUCCUGUCAGUUCUCUCCCUCUUUUCCUUUCCCUCUUUUUUAUCCUCCAUUUCCUUCAGUCAUCUCACAGCAAAGCUUUGAAGCUCACUGACGCAUCAAAGAGAAAUGUUAUUUGUUCAAGUCGGUCUGAACCUUUCUUCUCCACUUUCACUUCCUUUGUUUUCACCCUCUUCUCUCAUCUCAAAUGUGCUGUUCUCUUUACUCUGCUCAAUUGUUUAUUGCUCAUAUUUUUUACAGUGUAUGAAUACAACUACGGAUUUACUUUUAUCCUGAGAACUUGAAGGGCAUACAAUAUUAAAACUUCAUGACAUCUUAUGUCAAACUGUUCUUUAUUUUAUCUCAUAAAGUUUAGUGUAGUAUUAGUUUGUGCAUAGCAGGCAGUGUGUUAACUCAUUCUGCUAAAAUAACUGAUGCAGUUGAAGCAGCAGGUUAUCACAGUGUCUGUGCCUGAGUCAGCUGUCUGAAGGACCAACAUGUUAAGUGCAUAAGUGCUCUGCUGAUAACAGCGAUAGCUUUGAGUGCUACCUUUUGAAAGUCACAAUAUCCUAUUCUUUUGUGUCCUGAUCAUAGCCGUACAUGCUGUACAUGUCUAUAAUGCAAAAAAGAC
Molecule: long non-coding RNA, 1629 nt
Organism: Sphaeramia orbicularis (orbiculate cardinalfish)
Lineage: Eukaryota; Metazoa; Chordata; Actinopteri; Kurtiformes; Apogonidae
Exons: 2
Source: RefSeq, a predicted model, not a curated record